This 244-nucleotide unclassified non-coding RNA is filed under the name Heterosigma akashiwo. RNAcentral describes it as "iron transporter like". Lineage: Eukaryota; Raphidophyceae; Chattonellales; Chattonellaceae. The record is from RNAcentral.
CGGGCUUUGUUGCGGGAAGUGACAGUCACUUUUUUAGAGAUCCGAAAGUACAUAGAGUUUGGGUCAGUUAGAUGCGACACUUUCUUGUCAAUAAAAAUACACUCAAAUAUUCUUAUGGCCUCCAUCUUGUUCCGAGUUUUUCUCAACUUCAACAAUUUGUCGUUGGAAGAAUCAUUUAACUUGUCUUCGUGGGAUGACUCCAUCUUCGUCGAAGUAUUGAGAAGCAAACGAUAUUCCAUCAAAU